GACGAACGCUGGCGGCGUGCCUAAUACAUGCAAGUAGAACGCUGAAGCGAGGAGCUUGCUCUUCUUGGAUGAGUUGCGAACGGGUGAGUAACGCGUAGGUAACCUGCCUUGUAGCGGGGGAUAACUAUUGGAAACGAUAGCUAAUACCGCAUAACAAUGGAUGACACAUGUCAUUUAUUUGAAAGGGGCAAUUGCUCCACUACAAGAUGGACCUGCGUUGUAUUAGCUAGUAGGUGAGGUAAUGGCUCACCUAGGCGACGAUACAUAGCCGACCUGAGAGGGUGAUCGGCCACACUGGGACUGAGACACGGCCCAGACUCCUACGGGAGGCAGCAGUAGGGAAUCUUCGGCAAUGGGGGCAACCCUGACCGAGCAACGCCGCGUGAGUGAAGAAGAGUUUCGGAUCGUAAAGCUCUGUUGUAAGUCAAGAACGGGUGUGAGAGUGGAAAGUUCACACUGUGACGGUAGCUUACCAGAAAGGGACGGCUAACUACGUG
This 497-nucleotide ribosomal RNA is filed under the name uncultured bacterium. RNAcentral describes it as "partial 16S ribosomal RNA". It matches the Rfam family "Bacterial small subunit ribosomal RNA", at positions 28 to 507 of the family's 1533-position model. The record is from RNAcentral.